Molecule: long non-coding RNA, 554 nt
Organism: Ictalurus punctatus (channel catfish)
Lineage: Eukaryota; Metazoa; Chordata; Actinopteri; Siluriformes; Ictaluridae
Source: Ensembl
CUGAAGCUCACAAAGACGCAGCACUGAAACGCUGACCAUGGCAUCCCUGCUCAACAAAAGCCACAAAGAUAGAUGCCUAGUUGCCACUGCUGCAGUUUGUUUGGAAGUUUACAGUGAUGGAAGCAGUCCUGCUGUGGCCUUAAAGGGCAGAUGGAGUGACAGAGGGCACACACCUCAGGUCACGGCUGAUCUGGGACAUCUAGACUUCUGGUACUAAACACAGCCAAAAUGAUCCGAAAGGCACACUGGAAUGAUAAAUGUAUCGUUGAAUAUCGAUACAUUCGUAUGUAGAAUGCAAUGAAUAAAAGCAUGUUUAGACUCAAAUUAGGGCUGCAUGAUUUAGCCAGAAAUAAAUAAUCUUUUCAUCAUGAUAUUCUAAAACACCAACAAGAAACCUCUUGAAAGAUCUGAAUGCUCUGAGAGCUCAUUUACAGUACAUAUUGAUAAUAGUAUUGCAAAGGUCAAUACUAAGAUAAUGAUUAAUAAGCACUGUAUUGUGCAUCAUUUGUUCAAAAUAAUAUAUUUAAUAAGUGGAAAUAUCUUGAAUAUAGGCA